Molecule: ribosomal RNA, 467 nt
Filed under: uncultured bacterium
Lineage: Bacteria
Description: bacterial SSU rRNA
Rfam family: Bacterial small subunit ribosomal RNA
Source: RNAcentral
GGGCCCGCACAAGCAGCGGAGCAUGUGGUUUAAUUCGACGCAACGCGAAAAACCUUACCAGGGCUUGACAUCUCAAGGAUCCGGUGGAAACAUCGGAGUGCCCUUCGGGGAACUUGAAGACAGGUGGUGCAUGGUUGUCGUCAGCUCGUGUCGUGAGAUGUUGGGUUAAGUCCCGCAACGAGCGCAACCCUUAUGGCCAGUUGCCAGCACGCAAAGGUGGGAACUCUGGCAAGACCGCCGAGGAUAACUCGGAGGAAGGUGGGGACGACGUCAAAUCAUCAUGCUCCUUAUGUCCUGGGCUACACACGUGCUACAAUGGCCGUAACAAAGAGAAGCUACCUCGUAAGAGGACGCGGAACUCGAAAAACGGUCUCAGUUCGGAUCGUGGGCUGCAACCCGCCCACGUGAAGUUGGAGUUGCUAGUAAUCGCGAAUCAGCAUGUCGCGGUGAAUGCGUUCCCGGGCCUU